Molecule: long non-coding RNA, 386 nt
Organism: Anastrepha ludens (Mexican fruit fly)
Lineage: Eukaryota; Metazoa; Arthropoda; Insecta; Diptera; Tephritidae
Exons: 2
Source: RefSeq, a predicted model, not a curated record
AGGAUUAAUCGUUUUUUUUUUGUUUUUGAUUUCUUUUGUAAACAAAAUUUUAACGUUUGUUGUAGUAAAUUGUGCCCUUUGAUUUUGGACUUUUAAAUAACCAUCAGAGGAGUUUUCCGUUUGCACACUUCCAAAAACAAGUGUUGAUUGGCUGAUAAGAUUUGUGGAAUGACAGAUCCUGUGAUAGUUUUUUGUGCGGGUACCUUUAUCGGAGUCUUGUUAAUCAAUAUUCUACAAUCAAAUCGCCUACACACGAACGGCAUGAUCACGGAUCGACUAAUAAUAUUUAUUUUUGGUGUUGUUGUUGGUUACUUUGUGGUACCACGAUUGUAAUGAAUAUACUGAAAUGUGUGCAAGCAAAUAAUAAAUAAAAUAAUAAAAAUGCA